UACGUAGGGGGCAAGCGUUGUCCGGAUUUAUUGGGCGUAAAGAGCGUGUAGGCGGCCUGAAAGGUCAGCUGUGAAAACUCGAGGCUCAACCUCGAGACGUCGGUUGAAACCAUCUGGCUAGAGUCCGGAAGAGGAGAGUGGAAUUCCCGGUGUAGCGGUGAAAUGCGCAGAUAUCGGGAAGAACACCGGUGGCGAAGGCGGUUCUCUGGGCCUGUACUGACGCUGAGGUACGAAAGCGUGGGGAGCAAACAGG
This 253-nucleotide ribosomal RNA is filed under the name uncultured bacterium. Its description in RNAcentral is "partial 16S ribosomal RNA". It matches the Rfam family "Bacterial small subunit ribosomal RNA", at positions 524 to 776 of the family's 1533-position model. The record is from RNAcentral.